This 1202-nucleotide long non-coding RNA is filed under the name Pogona vitticeps (central bearded dragon). RNAcentral's name for it is "lncRNA (ENSPVIG00000008781.1)". Lineage: Eukaryota; Metazoa; Chordata; Lepidosauria; Squamata; Agamidae. The record is from RNAcentral.
UGUUCAAACAGUGGGGGGGGGAUCCUUACAGUGAACCUUAUUACAAACGUUUAUGUUCACAUUUCAUGGAGUACAAACUUACACCGCUUUCUAUCCUCUUCAUACAAUAACUGUAGUCUUGGAUUCAAACAGCAGUUGAAAUCCUGUUGCCAGAAACCAUACCACAUAAAGCUGAAGACAUCAACACCCCCCCACCCGAAAUUAAAAAAAUUCCAAUUCCCUGAAGGUCUCAAGACUUGUUAUUGGACAUUGCGGAAUGGGAUUUGUGUGUCAGAUGUUUAUUUCCAAAAAUUGCUACCGCAGACAUGCACGGGUCACUCCUCAACUUUUCUUGGGCUUUGUACAGUACCUUCCGCUUUGUGGAUGAAAUAUGAAGGUUUGCAGACAGACGUUCCUCAACUUUUCUUGGGCUUUGUACAGUAUCUUCCGCUUUGUGGAUAAAAUAUGAAGGUUUGCAAACAGAAGGGUUAACAGUUUAACGUGAAUGAGACAUAAACACAGAGAGGCACUAUUUAUAUUUUUGGGCACUAGACAGGAAAGCAAAAGAAACACAACUACUGUAACACAGCAGAAACAAGAACAUCAAAUCACCAGUGUUAAGGAGCCCUCUUCUUUGAGAUCUAUUUAUUUCCCCAUUGUUCAAAACAAUGCAGCCAUUUUGUAGAGAAGCAUAUAAUCUAUGCAAAACUGAACACACAAUGAGAAUAUGUGGACUGUGCUAGGGAGGAGUCAAUAGCUACUGAAUGGCAGCUAAGUGCUUGGGUAGUCACCACCCACCAGGUAAAGCCAUACAUUUUAAGAUAUAUAUGGCUACAUAACUUACAAUAUGUAAGAAACACAACAAUCUGGCCAACUGCAAUACACGUAUCAAGAACUAUUUAAAACAUAUUGGUUGAGAUCCUGUUAGCAUAAUGAGUAACUGAAUCAGCAAGCCAACUUCUCCACAAGUCCCCAUGAUGCAAAUAGUCCUAUUAUACUUAAAUUUACUACGCUAAAUCAAGUUACAACUAGACUAGGCCCAUUAAAAUCCAUGGAACUUAAGGGGUUGACUCAUCAAACAUUCACUGAUUCAAUAUGACUUGCUCUAGUACAACUUACUACCAAACAACAGAAUUUUAGAUGACAGUAGUGUUCUCCUAGAAAUAUUUUCUACCCAUUGUCCUUUCAAUAAAAGCUGCCACUUGACUCUUCUUUUUUACUUC